AGAGUUGGGAGGUUUCUAGCAGACCGGUCUGCCUGCUGGGGCUUCCUCCGCGGGGCCCUAUGGUCCGCCGGGUUUUAGCUAUGUGGCCUGUCCCACAGCUGCUAUGCUGUCCCAGUCCCUAGUGCGCCCAGUCAAGCCACAGACCUGCCUCUGAGGAAGGGAGUGAGGCAGGGAAUAAGCCGGGGCCUCUGGGGACUCAGACCUGCUUGGGAAUAACCGAGUGUACACAUGGAUAAAAUGAAACCCGGAGGCUGUUACCUUUGAUCUGGGAUGGGGCCACUGUGAAGCAGAGGUACCUGUCAGCAUACAGGGAAGAGGGGAAUUCAGAGCUGGGGCCUGGUCCUGUUGCUGUGAUUAAGUCGCUGGAUGAUCUUGGGCAAGUUCUUUCCCCUCUCUGAUCCAGUUGUCAUAUCUGAUCAGUGGAGGAUUAGGCCAGAUGGCCCCUAAGGGUGUGUUGAGGGAUUCUCUUUUCCCUCUGGGCUCAGUGGAGGUGGGAGGGAUUCCAGAAGUUUGAACAUUUUGCCCCCUGAGAAAUCACAAUCUGAGUGCUGUUUUUCAGGCCUCACCUAGGCUGCCUUCUCCAACCUUGUGCCUGGGACCCAGAGGGCAGAAAUUUCCCUCUUGUGCUUAUAAGCCAGUUAGGAAGAACCUGCCCUUAGCUUGGGCCCUGCAGAUUUCCCCUCUGCUUUGGAAACUCCUGAAGCCCAGGGGAGACAGCCAGAGUGGACUUUCCUCGGGCCCAGCGCCCUGCCCCCAGCCCUGCCAGGCAGCCUCUGUUCACCCAUUGCACUGUCCUGCUGGACUGACGCUUGCUUCAGUGACACAGGGCAUGCAUCUAACCUUCAAAGCCUCCUAAUCCAGCCGGGGACAUGGGGGCUUCCAGCAACACCCCUGGCCAGCAACCAAUCAACACUGACCCCUCAGCUUCGUGGCAUGGGGUUUGCUCUAUGACCCCAGACAGGACUCCUACAAGGAGCAACUAGUUUUGCUCAAGACACCAUAAUGGCAUGGGGGCAGGCUCGCUGAGGGCCGGGACUUGGAGGGUUAAGCCUUCCCUCCUGCCUGCCUGCCCCCUGCAGCGCUGGCCUCAGCUGCUUAGAAUCCCUGGGGUCCUGUAGGGCCCUCACGCCAGAUGGGCAGCAGCACCAGGAGAGGAGGAGAAGGAGAAGUGGAAACAGGCCUCAGGGUACCCCCAGGAGGGGAGGGGAAGAGGAGGGAUGGGGGGACAGAGAUGGCUGCGAGGUAGUGGUGCCCCACUGGCCUAUAAUGGAGAAGGAGGACCCCUCUCCUGGUGUCUGGCGGGGGGCAAGGGUUGCCCAGGGACUUGGGAGCUGUGGGGAGAUGUCCACACCAUCAGGGCACCGCUGUCCCGCUCAGCCGCACAGCCCUCAGAGCCAGCUCUUUGCGUGAAACCCUAGCCGAUGCUGGCUCCCGCUCCUUUUUCUUUUUUCUUAAUAAGGUCGAAUCAGAGUGAGUCAGAGAGCCAAGUUUCCUGUUAGGCUCUGUUUGAAUAAACUCUGCUCUGAACAUAGCUUGGGCCUCUAAACAGGCUCCCCCGGCCAGGGCUUCGGCCCUGCCAGCCGUCCCUGCUGAGACCCAAGACCUAGGGUCCACCGGAUAACUGUAGUCCUGGCCACUCCCAGGGGGAAGCCUGUUCCGCUCUCAGAACUUCAAGGUCUUCAUCUGUCACUUGGAGUAAUAAUACCUUAGUACUUCUCUUGCAGCACGUUUGGGAGGAUGAAAUGAAAAGUACCCAGCGCAAUGCCAGGCAUCCAGCCGCUGUUUUCUUUUCUCUUAACUCCAGAGAGAAGAGAGGGCUUUGUCUCCCGAGGGUGCAUUUCUCUCUUUCCUGUUUUUAUCUCUCUUCUGUGUUCUUCAUUGCUGGGGUGGGCCUUGCGCAGCCCAGAGCCUGGGAAGGCUCCUCCGCCUGCCCCCUGCCCCGCCUCCUCCCUCCCCUCUGCCCCUCCCUUUGACCUCUUUCUCCCUUCCAGUCUGGGUCUCCCGCAGUGGCUGACAAGGCCCAGCUGGGGCAGGGCCAGUGGCUCUGUGAGCCCAGGGGAGCCUGCCUGUUUCCUCCUCUCCACAUGCGGGGUGAGGCACCUCAGUAGCUGGAGGUGGCCUAGUGUUCUUAGGUGGAAGCCUGGAGAAUGCGGGUCUGAAAGAGACCUGAGCAGGCUGUGGAGGGUACAGAGCCUGGGUGAAAUGAGGGCUGUACUCUCUCACACCAGGCCAGGCAGGGCCUGAGCUGACUGGGAGGGCAGUGGGGGAAGCAGCCCUGUCCCUACAGGCUGGAUUCAUACUUAUAUUUUUAAGACCCAGGCAUGUGGUUGAGGCUUACCGCCAGCCUCUGCCACUAGGAACCAGUUUCAAGGAAUCCUAGGAGGGCUCAUGAUAUGGGGCUGAAGGAACCUGUUGACAGUGCACGACUUUAUUAUACACCUACUGUGUGCUUAGCUCCGGGCUGGACUGCCCUGUUGUUGGGACUCCUGUGGAGCAGCCAGCAUAUGCCGUGAUACUGUGAUGGAACUCCAAAAACAUCCAAAGCCAAACCUGUUGUCCUUGAGUCAAUUCUGACUCUUGGUAACCCUGUGUGUUACAGAGUGUACUGCUCUGUAAGGUUUUCUUGACCAUAAUCUUUACAGAAGCAGAUCACCAGGCCUUUCUUCCACGAAACUGCUAACCUUUCAGGUAGUAGUCGAGCACGACUGGAAACCAUUUGGGCCAACAUUGGAGCUCCAGGCUCUGGAAAAUCAUGGGGGAGAGAGAGGCCAGCAGGCCUGACUGGCAGAGGUUUUGGAGAGCAGAGAAGGGACCAGAGCUGUUGAGUCUCUCACUGCUGUAAGAGACCAGGAGACCCGCUGUGAGUCAGAAAGGUUCUGAUGGGGUGGGGGAUGAGAACAGGCCCCAGGGUGCCCCUGUCCUCUUUCACCCAGGCUGCAGCGCUGGGUCUCCACCCUAAGACCACAGACUGUGGAGCCCUGGCCUAGGCACCUAGGUGGGUGGCUCAAGGCUGCGAGUGGGAUUUGUGCUGAAUUGGACAUUGCAGCCCCAGCCUGGGCAGUGGAGGAUGUGGACCCAGCUGCUGCCUCUGGGAUGUGGGGCUGGAGGACGUGCUGAGUGAGGAGGCAGGGUGAGCUGGCACAGAAAGCGCUGACUAUGCAGGGACAGGACCACCAAGUGACCACUGCCAGCUGGGCCUUGAGCACACCCCUCCCCUGCAGCCACAUCUGGUGCAAUGGCGGAGGAGGAAGGGGGAACUUGGGUCCCCAGAGCUAAAGCAGCCGUGGAGGGGGCCCGUGGAGGGGGCUGGACCCUUUGGUUUGGAAGUGUCUCUCUUCAGGGGCGGAACUCAGGAGCAGCCCGGAAGUGGGCGGGGGGGUUGAGGUCAGAGCCUGUGUGAGGGAUUGAUGGGGUGGGGGAAGGGAAGCAACCCACCCUUCCUAGGACCUCGGGAAUUCGAUGGCUCUGGCCACUUACCACUCUGUUUUCUCUCCUAGCUAUCCAGCCCCUCCCCCAAAGUUCCCUGGGGAAUUGGAAAUACCAGAACUGCUAUAAUAGUCUGGGCAUGGGGCAAGGCUCAGUGGAGGCAGGAGGCCCCUACGGCCCCCUCGGCCACCAGCCCAGCCAGCUUCCCCCCUCCCUGACUUUCUCUCCCCCCAAAGAGUUUGGUGCAGGCGUGGCUUUGGGGCCUGCUCAUGGGUAACCUUUGGAUGCGGCUCCCCACCCCGCUCAGUGAGGGCCGGGGUGGGGGGGGAGCUGGUGGAAGCAGGGAGCACCCUUAUUACAGGAUUGGGACAGAGAGGAGAGGCGCCUCAUCCCAGGGACCUUGCCGGGUGGAGGGUUUGUGCUGUAUUUGUUGGGUGGUGAUGGGGGUCCUGCAGCCCUGCCUGCUCAGACUCAGGCAGGGGAAUGCUGGGCGGGAAGGCCUCUUCUGUUAGGUAGCUCAACCAGCACAGGACGGGGAGGAGGCAACAGAGUCCCUUGCCCAAGGGAGGAGGGUGGCAGGACCAAGCAGGAUGCCAGUCCCUUGGGCCGUAGCCCAACAAAGGCCUGGAGAGCGAGUAGGAGAACGAAGGCAGGACCACAAUGGCUUUGACAAAUAAUAACCUGGUUAGACUAAGGGAAGACUCCUUUCUCCUCUCUCUCUCUUUUCUUUUGCCAGUAACACCCCCCCAUCUUUUCAUUCACUCAUUCGUUUUCUCGGUCUCUGUCUCCCUCAGUCUGUCUUUGCCUCCAUCCUGUCUUGCGGUCUCCACCUGUCUCUGUGUUUCCGUUCCUGCAUAUCUCUUUCUUUCUCACUCCUUCACUGUCUCUAUCUCUACUGCUGUUUCUUCCCGUUACUCAUUCAUUAACCCAUUCACUUGCCCAGUCACCUCGUUCCCUGGGUGCCUGCUGGAGUUACUGAGAAGCUUGAUGCUAGCUGCUGGAGUUACUGAGAAGCCAGACCUGUCAGGGCCCCACAGAGCUCACGGACAAGACUGCGUUACAGGGUAACUGCCAUGACCCACUGCUUUCUAUUUCCCACUGAUCACAGGAGCUCCCGCUGUCCAGAGGAAGGGAAUGUAAGCAGAGGAACCCUGGUGACGCCGUGAUUAAGCACUUGGCUGCUAACCAAAAGGUUGAUGAUUUGAACCCACCAACAGCUCUGCGGGAGAAAGCUGUGGCAAUCUGCUUCCACAGGGAUUUACAGCCUUGCCAAGGUCAUGGAAGCUCCACAGAUACAUCCAGACUCCCUAAGGGACCGAAUUACUGGGCCGAGGGCUAUGGGGACCAUGGUUUCGGGGAACAUCUAGCUCAUUGGGCAUAUUGUAAAGAAAAUGUUUUACAUUUUACUUUGGUGAGUAGUGUCUGGGUUCUUAAAAGCUUGUGAGUGGCCAUCUAAGAUGCUCCACUGGUCUCACCCCAUCUGGAGCAAGAGAGAAUGCAGAAAACAAAAGACACAAGGGAAAGAUUAGUCCAAAAGUCUAAUGGACCACAAGUACCAUACCAUAGCCUCUGCCAAACUGAGCCCAGCACAACUAGAUGGUGCCUGGCUACCACCACCGACUGCUUGACAGGGAUCACAAUAGAGGCUCCUGGUCAGAGCUGGAGAAAAAUGUAGAACAAAAUUCUAACUCACACACACACACAGAAAGACCCUUACUGGUCUGAUGGAGACUGGAGAAACCCGAACUGUAAGGCCCCCAGGCAUCCUUUUAACUCAGUAAUGAAGUCACUCUUGAGGUUCACCCUUCAGGCAAAGAUUAGACAGGCCCAUAAAAAGAAAUGAGACUAAAUGGGCACACCGGCCCAGGGGAAAGGAUGAGAAGGCAGGAGGGGACAGGAAAACUGGUAAUGGGCAACCCAAGAUCGAGAAGGGGUGAGUGUUGACAUGUCGUGGGGCUGGCAACCAAUGUCACAAAAACAAUAUUUGUACUAAUUCUUUAAUGAGAAACUAGUUUGUGCUGUAAACUUUCAUCUAAAGUACAAAAACAAAAACAUUUACAGCCUUGGAAACCCUGUGGGGGCUGUUCUACUCUGUCCUAUAGGGCCACUAUGAGUCAAAAUCACUUCAAUGGCAUACAACAACAGAAUGCAAGCUCCAUGAGGGCAGAGAUCUUUGUUUUGUUCAUGGCUGUGUCUCAAGUACCUAGAAUCAUGUCUGGCACAUAAACCAAACCAAAUCCAUUGCCGUAGAGUCAAUUCAGACUCAUAGUGACCCUACAGGACAAGGUAGAACUGCCCCAUAGGGUUUCCAAGGAGUGGCUGGUAGAUUCGAACUGCCAACCUUUUGAUUAGCAGCUGAGCUCUUAACCACUGAGCCACCAGGGCUCCGUCUGGCACAUAGGAAGUACUUAAUAAGUAUUUGUUGAAUAAAUAAAUACAUGGUGAAUUUCCUGUUCAUUUUCUUUGACUGUUUUCUUUGUAAUGUUCAUCUUUUUAGUAUUGAUUUAUAAGAUGUAUUACACUUUUUUUUUUUUAUUACACUUAGCAGCUUUUUCAUAUAUCACUCUUUGUCAUAUAUUGUGCAACUAAUUUUUAAAACUUGUCACUUGCCUCACGUUUUAAUAGAGUUUCUUGAUGUACUGAAGUGCUUCAUUUUUAGGCUGUCAAAUUAUUAAUUGUUUCUUUAUGGUCUCAGACUUUAUUGUUUUACUUAGAAUGACCUUUGCCCUCACCAAGGAUGUAUAAAUUUCCAAUUAAAUUUUCUUCUAUGAUUUUAUGAUUUCAUUUUACUUUCUUAUAUUUAACUACUUUAUUUCUAUGUAUGAUGAGAAGUAAGAACUUAACUCAAAAAAAAAAAUUAAACUACUACUAUCCCAACAUGAAUCAUAAAUGAAUUGUCAUUUCCCGGGGAUCUGAAAGGCCACCUUAACCAUAUACUGAAUAUUUUUUUCUUUGGCUGGGCUUUCAAUUCUGUUUCAUUAGCCUAUCAGAUCAUUUUUAUUCUAGUAUUGCCCUAUUUUAAUUAUUGU
Molecule: long non-coding RNA, 6455 nt
Organism: Loxodonta africana (African savanna elephant)
Lineage: Eukaryota; Metazoa; Chordata; Mammalia; Proboscidea; Elephantidae
Exons: 4
Source: RefSeq, a predicted model, not a curated record